RNAcentral lists this small nuclear RNA (163 nucleotides) under Ornithorhynchus anatinus (platypus). RNAcentral's name for it is "U1 spliceosomal RNA (ENSOANG00000045039.1)". It matches the Rfam family "U1 spliceosomal RNA". Rfam says of the family: U1 is a small nuclear RNA (snRNA) component of the spliceosome (involved in pre-mRNA splicing). Its 5' end forms complementary base pairs with the 5' splice junction, thus defining the 5' donor site of an intron. There are significant differences in sequence and secondary structure between metazoan and yeast U1 snRNAs, the latter being much longer (568 nucleotides as compared to 164 nucleotides in human). The record is from Rfam by way of RNAcentral. Lineage: Eukaryota; Metazoa; Chordata; Mammalia; Monotremata; Ornithorhynchidae.
CUACUUACCUGGCAGGGAGACACCAUGAUCACGUAGGUGGUUUUCCAGGGUGAGGCUCCGCCAUUGCACUUUGGGCUGUGCUGACCCCUGCGAUUUCCCCAAAUGCGGGAAACUCGACUGCAUAAUUUGUGGUAGUGGGGGACUGCGUUCGCGCUCUCCCCUG